CCACCGCGGUUAGACGAGAGGCCCUAGUUGAUUACACAACGGCGUAAAGGGUGGUUAAGGAUUAAUAAAAAUAAAGCCAAAUGGCCCUUUGGCCGUCAUACGCUUCUAGGUGUCCGAAGUCCUUACACGAAAGUAGCUUUAAUAAAACCACCUGACCCCACGAAAGCUGAGAAACAAACUGGGAUUAGAUACCCCACUAUGCUCAGCCGUAAACUUAGACAUCCGACUACAAUUAGAUGUCCGCCAGGGUACUACGAGCAUUAGCUUAAAACCCAAAGGACCUGACGGUGUCUCAGACCCCCCUAGAGGAGCCUGUUCUAGAACCGAUAACCCCCGUUAAACCUCACCACUCCUAGUCACCCCAGCCUAUAUACCGCCGUCGUCAGCUUACCCUGUGAAGGCAACAAAAGUAAGCAAAAUGGGCACAACCCAGAACGUCAGGUCGAGGUGUAGCGCAUGAAGUGGGAAGAAAUGGGCUACAUUUUCUGCAACAGAAUAUUACGAACAUGCACUAUGAAAUAAUGCUUGAAGGAGGAUUUAGUAGUAAAAAGGAAAUAGAGUGUCCCUUUGAACUCGGCUCUGAGACGCGUACACACCGCCCGUCACUCUCCCCUGUCAAAAUGCACCAACAAUAUAUAAUUAACUAGCACCGACGAGGGGAGGCAAGUCGUAACACG
This 677-nucleotide ribosomal RNA is filed under the name Crossocheilus reticulatus (silver flying fox). RNAcentral's name for it is "partial 12S ribosomal RNA". It matches the Rfam family "Bacterial small subunit ribosomal RNA", at positions 512 to 1495 of the family's 1533-position model. The record is from RNAcentral. Lineage: Eukaryota; Metazoa; Chordata; Actinopteri; Cypriniformes; Cyprinidae.